GACGAACGCUGGCGGCGUGCUUAACACAUGCAAGUCGAACGGAAAGGCCCUGCUUUUGUGGGGUGCUCGAGUGGCGAACGGGUGAGUAACACGUGAGUAACCUGCCCUUGACUUUGGGAUAACUCCAGGAAACUGGGGCUAAUACCGGAUAGGAGCUCCUGCUGCAUGGUGGGGGUUGGAAAGUUUCGGCGGUUGGGGAUGGACUCGCGGCUUAUCAGCUUGUUGGUGGGGUAGUGGCUUACCAAGGCUUUGACGGGUAGCCGGCCUGAGAGGGUGACCGGCCACAUUGGGACUGAGAUACGGCCCAGACUCUUACGGGAGGCAGCAGUGGGGAAUAUUGCACAAUGGGCGGAAGCCUGAUGCAGCAACGCCGCGUGCGGGAUGACGGCCUUCGGGUUGUAAACCGCUUUCGCCUGUGACGAAGCGUGAGUGACGGUAAUGGGUAAAGAAGCACCGGCUAACUACGUG
This 468-nucleotide ribosomal RNA is filed under the name uncultured bacterium. Its description in RNAcentral is "partial 16S ribosomal RNA". It matches the Rfam family "Bacterial small subunit ribosomal RNA", at positions 28 to 507 of the family's 1533-position model. The record is from RNAcentral.